Molecule: long non-coding RNA, 653 nt
Organism: Esox lucius (northern pike)
Lineage: Eukaryota; Metazoa; Chordata; Actinopteri; Esociformes; Esocidae
Exons: 3
Source: RefSeq, a predicted model, not a curated record
UUUGUGCCUCACGGAUCACAUUGGCCACACACUGAUCUUCACACUCAUCUGGUCAUGACGCUCAACAAGACAUGUCCCCUGGGGAACUCCACAACAGCAUGCAAACCAACGUCUGGAGGUUUAUCUCUGGCACUAGGUUUGGGUCUCCCUCUGUCCAUCUUGCUGGUAGUAGUAAUGGUGCUGAUUUUUACCCAGCGUAGUAAGCUGAGGAGUUUAUGGACAUUAGAUCAACUCAAAAGCACAGAGGUCGACACACGGAAACCUGAGGGUUCCCAAUACACGCCCAUGGUCAGACCACUGCCUGCCUCUGAUCAUUUUCCUAUCUACGAGAACUAUACUGACUCCAGAUACAGGAACAGGUCGACCAAUGAACCCGGGGACAUAUACCUGCAGUGUGAUUCACAGGAUGACGCAAUUUACAGCAAUGACCCGUCGUGUAGCCUGGCCAUACUACCUCCUGAGGGGGACGACGACCUUUAUGUAAUGCCAGACACUUUCCAGGCACAGCCGUGGUGACCACUUUGUUCAAAUCCAGUGGAAUUGGAAUAUAAAUCAAUGGGCACGGUAUGUUUUGGAGCCUGUCGUGUUUUACCCAACCAUUUGAAAGAACACAUUUUGCCUUCAUCUGCUUUAGAUUAAAAGUAUUUUUAUUA